Molecule: non-coding RNA, 97 nt
Organism: Acanthosepion pharaonis
Lineage: Eukaryota; Metazoa; Mollusca; Cephalopoda; Sepiida; Sepiidae
Source: the annotation of a GenBank genome assembly
GGUCACCCCUAACCCCGUAUAAUCACUGAAGUUAAGCAACAUGGAGCCUAGACAGUACUUAGAUGGGUGAAUGUUUGGGAAUAUCAGAUGCUGCAAG